GGGGGGGGGGGGGGGCGGGGCGGAUGCGGGGAGGUCGAGGGGACGGGGGGGGGGGUGGCUUCGCGGAGGGGAGCGGCGGACGGGGGAGGAACACGUGUAUAACCUACCUGUAAGACUGGGAUGACUUCGGGAAGCCGGAGCUACAACCGGAUAAUCUUUUGAACCGCAAGGUUCAAGAGUGAGAGCCGGUCUUGCUGUCACUUAUAGAUGGAUCCGCGCUGCAUUAGCUAGUUGGUAAGGUAACGGCUUACCAAGGGAACGAUGCAUAGCCGACCUGAGAGGGUGAUCGGCCACACUGGAACUGAGACACGGUCCAGACUCCUACGGGAGGCAGCAGUAGGGAAUCUUCCGCAAUGGGCGAAAGCCUGACGGAGCAACGCCGCGUGAGUGAUGAAGGUCUUCGGAUCGUAAAACUCUGUUAUUAGGGAAGAACAUAUGUGUAAGUAACUGUGCACAUCUUGACGGUACCUAAUCAGAAAGCCACGGCUAACUACGUG
This 497-nucleotide ribosomal RNA is filed under the name uncultured bacterium. RNAcentral describes it as "partial 16S ribosomal RNA". It matches the Rfam family "Bacterial small subunit ribosomal RNA", at positions 38 to 507 of the family's 1533-position model. The record is from RNAcentral.